This 1500-nucleotide ribosomal RNA is filed under the name Escherichia coli. RNAcentral describes it as "partial 23S ribosomal RNA". It matches the Rfam family "Bacterial large subunit ribosomal RNA", at positions 1436 to 2916 of the family's 2925-position model. Lineage: Bacteria; Pseudomonadati; Pseudomonadota; Gammaproteobacteria; Enterobacterales; Enterobacteriaceae. The record is from RNAcentral.
UUCCUGUACUUGGUGUUACUGCGAAGGGGGGACGGAGAAGGCUAUGUUGGCCGGGCGACGGUUGUCCCGGUUUAAGCGUGUAGGCUGGUUUUCCAGGCAAAUCCGGAAAAUCAAGGCUGAGGCGUGAUGACGAGGCACUGCGGUGCUGAAGCAACAAAUGCCCUGCUUCCAGGAAAAGCCUCUAAGCAUCAGGUAACAUCAAAUCGUACCCCAAACCGACACAGGUGGUCAGGUAGAGAAUACCAAGGCGCUUGAGAGAACUCGGGUGAAGGAACUAGGCAAAAUGGUGCCGUAACUUCGGGAGAAGGCACGCUGAUAUGUAGGUGAAGUCCCUCGCGGAUGGAGCUGAAAUCAGUCGAAGAUACCAGCUGGCUGCAACUGUUUAUUAAAAACACAGCACUGUGCAAACACGAAAGUGGACGUAUACGGUGUGACGCCUGCCCGGUGCCGGAAGGUUAAUUGAUGGGGUUAGCGCAAGCGAAGCUCUUGAUCGAAGCCCCGGUAAACGGCGGCCGUAACUAUAACGGUCCUAAGGUAGCGAAAUUCCUUGUCGGGUAAGUUCCGACCUGCACGAAUGGCGUAAUGAUGGCCAGGCUGUCUCCACCCGAGACUCAGUGAAAUUGAACUCGCUGUGAAGAUGCAGUGUACCCGCGGCAAGACGGAAAGACCCCGUGAACCUUUACUAUAGCUUGACACUGAACAUUGAGCCUUGAUGUGUAGGAUAGGUGGGAGGCUUUGAAGUGUGGACGCCAGUCUGCAUGGAGCCGACCUUGAAAUACCACCCUUUAAUGUUUGAUGUUCUAACGUUGACCCGUAAUCCGGGUUGCGGACAGUGUCUGGUGGGUAGUUUGACUGGGGCGGUCUCCUCCUAAAGAGUAACGGAGGAGCACGAAGGUUGGCUAAUCCUGGUCGGACAUCAGGAGGUUAGUGCAAUGGCAUAAGCCAGCUUGACUGCGAGCGUGACGGCGCGAGCAGGUGCGAAAGCAGGUCAUAGUGAUCCGGUGGUUCUGAAUGGAAGGGCCAUCGCUCAACGGAUAAAAGGUACUCCGGGGAUAACAGGCUGAUACCGCCCAAGAGUUCAUAUCGACGGCGGUGUUUGGCACCUCGAUGUCGGCUCAUCACAUCCUGGGGCUGAAGUAGGUCCCAAGGGUAUGGCUGUUCGCCAUUUAAAGUGGUACGCGAGCUGGGUUUAGAACGUCGUGAGACAGUUCGGUCCCUAUCUGCCGUGGGCGCUGGAGAACUGAGGGGGGCUGCUCCUAGUACGAGAGGACCGGAGUGGACGCAUCACUGGUGUUCGGGUUGUCAUGCCAAUGGCACUGCCCGGUAGCUAAAUGCGGAAGAGAUAAGUGCUGAAAGCAUCUAAGCACGAAACUUGCCCCGAGAUGAGUUCUCCCUGACUCCUUGAGAGUCCUGAAGGAACGUUGAAGACGACGACGUUGAUAGGCCGGGUGUGUAAGCGCAGCGAUGCGUUGAGCUAACCGGUACUAAUGAACCGUGAGG